Molecule: transfer RNA, 67 nt
Filed under: Chagasia sp. SP54_C
Lineage: Eukaryota; Metazoa; Arthropoda; Insecta; Diptera; Culicidae
Description: tRNA-Gly
Source: RNAcentral
AUUUAUAAAGUAUAUUAUUGUAUAUAUGACUUCCAAUCAUAAGGACUAAACAAAUUUAGUAUAAAUA